GACGAACGCUGGCGGCGUGCUUAACACAUGCAAGUCGAACGGAAAGGCCCUGCUUUUGUGGGGUGCCCGAGUGGCGAACGGGUGAGUAACACGUGAGUAACCUGCCCUUGACUUUGGGAUAACUUCAGGAAACUGGGGCUAAUACCGGAUAGGAGCUCCUGCUGCAUGGUGGGGGUUGGAAAGUUUCGGCGGUUGGGGAUGGACUCGCGGCUUAUCAGCUUGUUGGUGGGGUAGUGGCUUACCAAGGCUUUGACGGGUAGCCGGCCUGAGAGGGUGACCGGCCACAUUGGGACUGAGAUACGGCCCAGACUCCUACGGGAGGCAGCAGUGGGGAAUAUUGCACAAUGGGCGGAAGCCUGAUGCAGCAACGCCGCGUGCGAGAUGACGGCCUUCGGGUUGUAAACCGCUUUCGCCUGUGACGAAGCGUGAGUGACGGUAAUGGGUAAAGAAGCACCGGCUAACUACGUGCCAGCAGCCGCGGUGAUACGUAGGGUGCGAGCGUUGUCCGGAUUUAUUGGGCGUAAAGGGCUCGUAGGUGGUUGAUCGCGUCGGAAGUGUAAUCUUGGGGCUUAACCCUGAGCGUGCUUUCGAUACGGGUUGACUUGAGGAAGGUAGGGGAGAAUGGAAUUCCUGGUGGAGCGGUGGAAUGCGCAGAUAUCAGGAGGAACACCAGUGGCGAAGGCGGUUCUCUGGGCCUUUCCUGACGCUGAGGAGCGAAAGCGUGGGGAGCGAACAGGCUUAGAUACCCUGGUAGUCCACGCUGUAAACGGUGGGUACUAGGUGUGGGGUCCAUUCCACGGGUUCCGUGCCGUAGCUAACGCUUUAAGUACCCCGCCUGGGGAGUACGGCCGCAAGGCUAAAACUCAAAGGAAUUGACGGGGCCCCGCACAAGCGGCGGAGCAUGCGGAUUAGUUCGAUGCAACGCGUAGAACCUUACCUGGGUUUGACAUGGAUCGGGAGUGCUCAGAGAUGGGUGUGCCUCUUUUGGGGUCGGUUCACAGGUGGUGCAUGGCUGUCGUCAGCUCGUGUCGUGAGAUGUUGGGUUAAGUCCCGCAACGAGCGCAACCCUUGUUCACUGUUGCCAGCACGUUAUGGUGGGGACUCAGUGGAGACCGCCGGGGUCAACUCGGAGGAAGGUGGGGAUGACGUCAAGUCAUCAUGCCCCUUAUGUCCAGGGCUUCACGCAUGCUACAAUGGCUGGUACAGAGAGUGGCGAGCCUGUGAGGGUGAGCGAAUCUCGGAAAGCCGGUCUCAGUUCGGGUUGGGGUCUGCAACUCGACCUCAUGAAGUCGGAGUCGCUAGUAAUCGCAGAUCAGCAACGCUGCGGUGAAUACGUUCCCGGGGCU
Molecule: ribosomal RNA, 1346 nt
Filed under: uncultured bacterium
Lineage: Bacteria
Description: partial 16S ribosomal RNA
Rfam family: Bacterial small subunit ribosomal RNA
Source: RNAcentral